This 532-nucleotide ribosomal RNA is filed under the name uncultured bacterium. RNAcentral describes it as "bacterial SSU rRNA". It matches the Rfam family "Bacterial small subunit ribosomal RNA", at positions 224 to 753 of the family's 1533-position model. The record is from RNAcentral.
GAUGAGCAUGCGUCCCAUUAGCUAGUUGGUAAGGUAACGGCUUACCAAGGCUACGAUGGGUAGGGGUCCUGAGAGGGAGAUCCCCCACACUGGUACUGAGACACGGACCAGACUCCUACGGGAGGCAGCAGUGAGGAAUAUUGGACAAUGGGCGCAAGCCUGAUCCAGCCAUGCCGCGUGCAGGAUGACGGUCCUAUGGAUUGUAAACUGCUUUUAUACGAGAAGAAACACUGCUUCGUGAAGCAGCUUGACGGUAUCGUAAGAAUAAGGAUCGGCUAACUCCGUGCCAGCAGCCGCGGUAAUACGGAGGAUCCAAGCGUUAUCCGGAAUCAUUGGGUUUAAAGGGUCCGUAGGCGGUUUAAUAAGUCAGUGGUGAAAGCCCAUCGCUCAACGGUGGAACGGCCAUUGAUACUGUUAGACUUGAAUUAUUAGGAAGUAACUAGAAUAUGUAGUGUAGCGGUGAAAUGCUUAGAGAUUACAUGGAAUACCAAUUGCGAAGGCAGGUUACUACUAAUUGAUUGACGCUGAUGGA